Molecule: unclassified non-coding RNA, 146 nt
Filed under: uncultured Scytalidium
Lineage: Eukaryota; Fungi; Ascomycota
Description: sequence contains ITS2
Source: RNAcentral
CAACCCUCAAGCUCUGCUUGGUAUUGGGCUCUGCCGCGAUGGCAGGCCUUAAAAUUAGUGGCGGUGCCGUCUGGCUCCAAGCGUAGUACAUCUCUCGCUCUGGAGGCCUGGUGGUGUCUUGCCAGAUAACCCCAAUUAUCUUCUAU